CGAAGCGAGAGAACGUUGCGCCAGCAACGGCCCGCAGGGCGAGCCACGAAGUGGCGAGUAAUCCUCUAUCACCGACCA
This 78-nucleotide small RNA is filed under the name Escherichia coli. RNAcentral describes it as "partial RtT sRNA". It matches the Rfam family "RtT RNA", at positions 53 to 130 of the family's 130-position model. Rfam says of the family: This family represents a bacterial cis-regulatory element known as RtT RNA. The exact function of RtT is unknown although it is thought that it may be involved in changing the cellular response in relation to amino acid starvation. The record is from RNAcentral. Lineage: Bacteria; Pseudomonadati; Pseudomonadota; Gammaproteobacteria; Enterobacterales; Enterobacteriaceae. RNAcentral also lists the same sequence under 4 other names.